UGCAUAUCAAAAGCGGAGGAAAAGAAACCAACAGGGAUUGCCUUAGUAGCGGCGAGUGAAGCGGCAAAAGCUCAAAUUUGAAAUCUGGCACUUUCAGUGUCCGAGUUGUAAUUUGAAGAAGGUAUCUUUGGGUCUGGCUCUUGUCUAUGUUUCUUGGAACAGAACGUCACAGAGGGUGAGAAUCCCCUGCAAUGAGAUGUCCCAGACCUAUGUAAAGUUCCUUCGAAGAGUCGAGUUGUUUGGGAAUGCAGCUCUAAGUGGGUGGUAAAUUCCAUCUAAAGCUAAAUAUUGGCGAGAGACCGAUAGCGAACAAGUACAGUGAUGGAAAGAUGAAAAGAACUUUGAAAAGAGAGUGAAAAAGUACGUGAAAUUGUUGAAAGGGAAGGGCUUGAGAUCAGACUUGGUAUUUUGUAUGUUACUCUCUCGGGGGUGGCCUCUACAGUUUACCGGGCCAGCAUCAGUUUGAGCGGUAGGAUAAGUGCAAAGAAAUGUGGCACUGCUUCGGUAGUGUGUUAUAGUCUUUGUCGAUACUGCCAGCUUAGACUGAGGACUGCGGCUUCGGCCUAGGAUGUUGGCAUAAUGAUCUUAAGUCGCCCGUCUUGAAACAC
Molecule: ribosomal RNA, 608 nt
Filed under: Lodderomyces parapsilosis
Lineage: Eukaryota; Fungi; Ascomycota; Pichiomycetes; Serinales; Debaryomycetaceae
Description: eukaryotic LSU rRNA
Rfam family: Eukaryotic large subunit ribosomal RNA
Source: RNAcentral